GGGGCUGUAGCUCAGUUGGCUAGAGCGUCGCCGUGGCACGGCGAAGGCCGCCGGUUCGAAUCCGGCCAGCUCCA
RNAcentral lists this transfer RNA (74 nucleotides) under Acidobacteriota bacterium. RNAcentral describes it as "Acidobacteria bacterium tRNA-Ala". It matches the Rfam family "tRNA". Rfam says of the family: Transfer RNA (tRNA) molecules are approximately 80 nucleotides in length. Their secondary structure includes four short double-helical elements and three loops (D, anti-codon, and T loops). The record is from RNAcentral. Lineage: Bacteria; Pseudomonadati; Acidobacteriota.